CCUCAGUAACGNCGAGUGAAGCGNCAACAGCUCAAAUUUGAAAUCUGACCGUCCCGCGGUCCGAGUUGUAAUUUGUAGAGGAUGCUUCGGGUGCGGCGCCGGUCUAAGUUCCUUGGAACAGGACGUCAUAGAGGGUGAAAAUCCCGUACGUGACCGGCGACCCAGNCCGUGUGAAGCUCCUUCGACGAGUCGAGUUGUUUGGGAAUGCAGCUCUAAAUGGGUGGUAAAUUUCAUCUAAAGCUAAAUACCGGCCAGAGACCGAUAGCGCACAAGUAGAGUGAUCGAAAGAUGAAAAGCACUUUGGAAAGAGAGUUAAAAAGUACGUGAAAUUGUUGAAAGGGAAGCGCUUGCAACCAGACUUGCUUGUGGGUGAUCAGCCGUCCUUCUGGGCGGUGCACUCGCCCGCGAUCAGGCCAGCAUCGGUUCGGGCGGUUGGAUAAAGGCCCCGGGAAUGUGGCUCCCUCCGGGGAGUGUUAUAGCCCGGGGCGCAAUGCGGCCAGCCCGGACCGAGGACCGCGCUUCGGCUAGGAUGCUGGCGUAAUGGUUGUAAGCGACCCGUCUUGAAACACGGACCAAGGAGUCUAACAUCUAUGCGAGUGUUUGGGUGUCAAACCCAUGCGCGCAAUGAAAGUGAACGGAGGUGGGAACCCUCAAGGGCGCACCAUCGACCGAUCCUGAUGUCUUCGGAUGGAUUUGAGUAAGAGCAUAGCUGUUGGGACCCGAAAGAUGGUGAACUAUGCCUGAAUAGGGUGAAGCCAGAGGAAACUCUGGUGGAGGCUCGCAGCGGUUCUGACGUGCAAAUCGAUCGUCAAAUUUGGGUAUAGGGCGAAAG
RNAcentral lists this ribosomal RNA (832 nucleotides) under Umbilicaria phaea var. coccinea. Its description in RNAcentral is "partial large subunit ribosomal RNA". It matches the Rfam family "Eukaryotic large subunit ribosomal RNA", at positions 78 to 929 of the family's 3401-position model. The record is from RNAcentral. Lineage: Eukaryota; Fungi; Ascomycota; Lecanoromycetes; Umbilicariales; Umbilicariaceae.